ACUGAUUACCAUACCAAGAUCAAGACACAGGCAGGUCUGUGCUCUUGCUUAACAACUGCUUAUUCACUCCGCUGGCAAGAGAGAAAGGACCAUUUCCUGUCUAUGACUGCUGAAGACCAGGCAGGAGGGGAGAUCUGGCCCCUGUUUUCAUUGCAGGAUUAUUGGAAAGGCUGAGCCUCUCUCCACCCAAGUGGUCCAUUCAUUCAUCCAACAGAUAUUUACUGAGUGUCUUCAUGUCUCAGAGGGCCAGUUUAAAACUUUGUGUGAGAAAAUCAAGGAUCAUCUGAUGCCAAAUAUAUUCCUCCUGGCUCUCGUUCUAGAGCAGCUGCUCUAGCUCCUGAUGAUCAGAAUGAUCAGGAUGGAAUGAGAAGAAAGUCACCAGUUCUAUGCUUCAUCAUAUAAUCAUGCACUGACAUCCAUUCUUAACACAUUUGCCCAUCUC
This is a long non-coding RNA of Bos taurus (domestic cattle), 442 nucleotides long. Lineage: Eukaryota; Metazoa; Chordata; Mammalia; Artiodactyla; Bovidae. The record is from Ensembl.